This 748-nucleotide ribosomal RNA is filed under the name uncultured Actinomycetes bacterium. RNAcentral's name for it is "bacterial SSU rRNA". It matches the Rfam family "Bacterial small subunit ribosomal RNA", at positions 157 to 917 of the family's 1533-position model. Lineage: Bacteria; Bacillati; Actinomycetota; Actinomycetes. The record is from RNAcentral.
CCGGUGCUAAUACUGAAUAUUGAAACAUAAGUGGCAUCACUGAGUUUUGAAAGAAUUUCGGUGGAGGAUGACUUCGCGGCCUAUCAGCUAGUUGGUGAGGUAAUGGCUCACCAAGGCAACGACGGGUAGCCGGCCUGAGAGGGCGACCGGCCACACUGGGACUGAGACACGGCCCAGACUCCUACGGGAGGCAGCAGUGGGGAAUAUUGGGCAAUGGAGGAAACUCUGACCCAGCGACGCCGCGUGCGGGAUGAAGGCCUUCGGGUUGUAAACCGCUUUCAGUAGGGAAGAAGCGAAAGUGACGGUACCUACAAAAGAAGCACCGGCUAACUAUGUGCCAGCAGCCGCGGUAAUACAUAGGGUGCAAGCGUUGUCCGGAAUUAUUGGGCGUAAAGAGCUCGUAGGUCGUUUGUUACGUCGGAUGUGAAAACCUGAGGCUCAACCUCAGGCCUGCAUUCGAUACGGGCAAACUAGAGUUUGGUAGGGGAGACUGGAAUUCCUGGUGUAGCGGUGGAAUGCGCAGAUAUCAGGAGGAACACCAAUGGCGAAGGCAGGUCUCUGGGCCAAUACUGACACUGAGGAGCGAAAGUCUGGGGAGCGAACAGGAUUAGAUACCCUGGUAGUCCAGACCGUAAACGGUGGGCACUAGUUGUGGGAACCUUCCACGGUUUCUGCGACGCAGCUAACGCAUUAAGUGCCCCGCCUGGGGAGUACGAUCGCAAGAUUAAAACUCAAAGGAAUUGACGGG